GACGAACGCUGGCGGCGUGCUUAACACAUGCAAGUCGAACGGAAAGGCCCUGCUUUUGUGGGGUGCUCGAGUGGCGAACGGGUGAGUAACACGUGAGUAACCUGCCCUUGACUUUGGGAUAACUUCAGGAAACUGGGGCUAAUACCGGAUAGGAGCUCCUGCUGCAUGGUGGGGGUUGGAAAGUUUCGGCGGUUGGGGAUGGACUCGCGGCUUAUCAGCUUGUUGGUGGGGUAGUGGCUUACCAAGGCUUUGACGGGUAGCCGGCCUGAGGGGGUGACCGGCCACAUUGGGACUGAGAUACGGACCAGACUCCUACGGGAGGCAGCAGUGGGGAAUAUUGCACAAUGGGCGGAAGCCUGAUGCAGCAACGCCGCGUGCGGGAUGACGGCCUUCGGGUUGUAAACCGCUUUCGCCUGUGACGAAGCGUGAGUGACGGUAAUGGGUAAAGAAGCACCGGCUAACUACGUG
RNAcentral lists this ribosomal RNA (468 nucleotides) under uncultured bacterium. RNAcentral's name for it is "partial 16S ribosomal RNA". It matches the Rfam family "Bacterial small subunit ribosomal RNA", at positions 28 to 507 of the family's 1533-position model. The record is from RNAcentral.